Molecule: long non-coding RNA, 210 nt
Filed under: Lathyrus oleraceus (garden pea)
Lineage: Eukaryota; Viridiplantae; Streptophyta; Magnoliopsida; Fabales; Fabaceae
Description: Pisum sativum (pea) long non-coding RNA (PSAT_LNC005782)
Source: RNAcentral
UUGAGGCAUAUAUUAUUAUUGUUUGAUUGCCAUGAACCAUCCCCAUUCAUAACAAAUGUACCCCUCUCCCAUGAAGUGUAUAAUAUUUAUUAUUUCAUUCUUUAUUCAUCUGUUUAUGCAAGAAUUAAAACGAACAUCCGAUAAUCAUUUCAAAACAAGAUCAAAAGCUCGAUCCAACGUCGAGUAAUCAUUUUCAAAACUUAACAGAAC